CCUACGGGAGGCAGCAGUGAGGAAUAUUGGUCAAUGGGAGCUAUCCUGAACCAGCCAUGCCGCGUGCAGGACGACUGCUCUACGAGUUGUAAACUGCUUUUGUACCGGAGUAAAGUGCUCUACGAGUAGGGUUUUGAAAGUACGUUACGAAUAAGGAUCGGCUAACUCCGUGCCAGCAGCCGCGGUAAUACGGAGGAUCCGAGCGUUAUCCGGAUUCAUUGGGUUUAAAGGGUGCGUAGGUUGUUUUAUAAGUCAGAGGUGAAAUAAUGAUGCUCAACAUCGGGGCUGCAGCUAAUACUGUAGGACGAGAGAUCGGAUGCAGCAGGCGGAAUGUGUAGUGUAGCGGUGAAAUGCAUAGAUAUUACACAGAACACCGAUUGCGAAGGCAGCUUGCUGGGCCGGAUCUGACACUGAUGCACGAAAGCGUGGGGAUCGAACAGGAUUAGAUACCCCUGUAGUC
RNAcentral lists this ribosomal RNA (460 nucleotides) under uncultured bacterium. Its description in RNAcentral is "partial 16S ribosomal RNA". It matches the Rfam family "Bacterial small subunit ribosomal RNA", at positions 338 to 795 of the family's 1533-position model. The record is from RNAcentral.